GAACGCUGGCGGCGUGCCUAAUACAUGCAAGUCGAACGAACUCUGGUAUUGAUUGGUGCUUGCAUCAUGAUUUACAUUUGAGUGAGUGGCGAACUGGUGAGUAACACGUGGGAAACCUGCCCAGAAGCGGGGGAUAACACCUGGAAACAGAUGCUAAUACCGCAUAACAACUUGGACCGCAUGGUCCGAGCUUGAAAGAUGGCUUCGGCUAUCACUUUUGGAUGGUCCCGCGGCGUAUUAGCUAGAUGGUGGGGUAACGGCUCACCAUGGCAAUGAUACGUAGCCGACCUGAGAGGGUAAUCGGCCACAUUGGGACUGAGACACGGCCCAAACUCCUACGGGAGGCAGCAGUAGGGAAUCUUCCACAAUGGACGAAAGUCUGAUGGAGCAACGCCGCGUGAGUGAAGAAGGGUUUCGGCUCGUAAAACUCUGUUGUUAAAGAAGAACAUAUCUGAGAGUAACUGUUCAGGUAUUGACGGUAUUUAACCAGAAAGCCACGGCUAACUACGUGCCAGCAGCCGCGGUAAUACGUAGGUGGCAAGCGUUGUCCGGAUUUAUUGGGCGUAAAGCGAGCGCAGGCGGUUUUUUAAGUCUGAUGUGAAAGCCUUCGGCUCAACCGAAGAAGUGCAUCGGAAACUGGGAAACUUGAGUGCAGAAGAGGACAGUGGAACUCCAUGUGUAGCGGUGAAAUGCGUAGAUAUAUGGAAGAACACCAGUGGCGAAGGCGGCUGUCUGGUCUGUAACUGACGCUGAGGCUCGAAAGUAUGGGUAGCAAACAGGAUUAGAUACCCUGGUAGUCCAUACCGUAAACGAUGAAUGCUAAGUGUUGGAGGGUUUCCGCCCUUCAGUGCUGCAGCUAACGCAUUAAGCAUUCCGCCUGGGGAGUACGGCCGCAAGGCUGAAACUCAAAGGAAUUGACGGGGGCCCGCACAAGCGGUGGAGCAUGUGGUUUAAUUCGAAGCUACGCGAAGAACCUUACCAGGUCUUGACAUACUAUGCAAAUCUAAGAGAUUAGACGUUCCCUUCGGGGACAUGGAUACAGGUGGUGCAUGGUUGUCGUCAGCUCGUGUCGUGAGAUGUUGGGUUAAGUCCCGCAACGAGCGCAACCCUUAUUAUCAGUUGCCAGCAUUAAGUUGGGCACUCUGGUGAGACUGCCGGUGACAAACCGGAGGAAGGUGGGGAUGACGUCAAAUCAUCAUGCCCCUUAUGACCUGGGCUACACACGUGCUACAAUGGAUGGUACAACGAGUUGCGAACUCGCGAGAGUAAGCUAAUCUCUUAAAGCCAUUCUCAGUUCGGAUUGUAGGCUGCAACUCGCCUACAUGAAGUCGGAAUCGCUAGUAAUCGCGGAUCAGCAUGCCGCG
This 1364-nucleotide ribosomal RNA is filed under the name Lactiplantibacillus plantarum. RNAcentral's name for it is "bacterial SSU rRNA". It matches the Rfam family "Bacterial small subunit ribosomal RNA", at positions 31 to 1361 of the family's 1533-position model. The record is from RNAcentral. Lineage: Bacteria; Bacillati; Bacillota; Bacilli; Lactobacillales; Lactobacillaceae.